RNAcentral lists this ribosomal RNA (116 nucleotides) under uncultured bacterium. RNAcentral describes it as "partial 16S ribosomal RNA". It matches the Rfam family "Bacterial small subunit ribosomal RNA", at positions 1367 to 1482 of the family's 1533-position model. The record is from RNAcentral.
UACGUUCCCGGGCUUGUACACACCGCCCGUCACGUCACGAAAGUCGGUAACGCCCGAAGCCGGUGGCCCAACCCUUGUGGAGGGAGCCGUCGAAGGUGGGACUGGCGAUUAGGACU